UACGGAAGGGGGCUAGCGUUGCUCGGAAUUACUGGGCGUAAAGCGCACGUAGGCGGCUUUCUAAGUCGGGGGUGAAAUCCUGGAGCUCAACUCCAGAACUGCCUUCGAUACUGGAGAGCUUGAGUCCGGGAGAGGUGAGUGGAACUGCGAGUGUAGAGGUGAAAUUCGUAGAUAUUCGCAAGAACACCAGUGGCGAAGGCGGCUCACUGGCCCGGUACUGACGCUGAGGUGCGAAAGCGUGGGGAGCAAACAGG
Molecule: ribosomal RNA, 254 nt
Filed under: uncultured bacterium
Lineage: Bacteria
Description: partial 16S ribosomal RNA
Rfam family: Bacterial small subunit ribosomal RNA
Source: RNAcentral